UGGCCCUACGGGGGGCAGCAGUGGGGAAUAUUGCACAAUGGGGGGAACCCUGAUGCAGCGACGCCGCGUGGGUGAGGAAGUACUUCGGUAUGUAAAGCCCUAUCAGCAGGGAAGAAAAUGACGGUACCUGACUAAGAAGCCCCGGCUAACUACGUGCCAGCAGCCGCGGUAAUACGUAGGGGGCAAUCGUUAUCCGGAUUUACUGGGUGUAAAGGGAGCGUAGACGGCAGCGCAAGUCUGAAGUGAAAUCCCAUGGCUUAACCAUGGAACUGCUUUGGAAACUGUGCAGCUGGAGUGCAGGAGAG
This 305-nucleotide ribosomal RNA is filed under the name uncultured bacterium. RNAcentral's name for it is "bacterial SSU rRNA". It matches the Rfam family "Bacterial small subunit ribosomal RNA", at positions 334 to 656 of the family's 1533-position model. The record is from RNAcentral.